Molecule: non-coding RNA, 97 nt
Organism: Mycena latifolia
Lineage: Eukaryota; Fungi; Basidiomycota; Agaricomycetes; Agaricales; Mycenaceae
Source: the annotation of a GenBank genome assembly
GACCUGAUGGUGGAGUGGUUACCACGCCUGCUUUGAAUUUUGAAUAUACAGAGAAGAAUUUGGCAGGAGGUACCCUGUUCGAUUCGGGGUCAGGUCA